RNAcentral lists this long non-coding RNA (2912 nucleotides) under Homo sapiens (human). Its description in RNAcentral is "long non-coding RNA NONHSAT223463.1". Lineage: Eukaryota; Metazoa; Chordata; Mammalia; Primates; Hominidae. The record is from RNAcentral.
ACGGCACCCGGCCAAAUAUUUACUUCUAAGGGUGCUUAUGAUUCAUGUUUGGGGGCAAAUGUAUUACAUAAUUCAUGUGUCAGUACCCCCUUGCAACACAGCAGGAGGCACAUAAUGUCAGAUCUCCUACUAUAAGAAGAUUAAAGAGAUUAACCAGAGGCCUUAUCAUGCAGGCACCUUUUCUUCUUUGUGCUUUUGAACCAUGAAUAAUUUAAAGUGUAUUGUUAAAGUGUAUUGUUUAAUUUUUAAGUAUUUGAAAUUUAUACUUCUUUGGAAGAAAAGUUAAAUAUUAAAUAUGAACUCGAUUGAACGUGGACACAAAGAAAGGUCACCAAGUCCUGGAACAGGUUGUGUGAGCCCCUUGAGGCAUUCAUCCAACACCAUUUCCGAGAAAUCUCUGUUUCAAUCUGUUCCUGUAUGUUAGUUAUUGAAAAACAAGUUGACCUUUUUGUGUUCCUUGAGCCCAGUCAUGAAUGGCCCUUGUGACUGGGCCUCACACCAAACAACUCAUUACACAAAGAGGUAAGGUCCCAGACCACGCCAAAGCUUCCUGAGACCUCUCCUCAUCUGUGCAUGGACGGAUGACCAACUCUGGGGCCCAGGCUGUUGCUUCCCAGUAUAAUGAUGAAUCCGCCAUAGUCUGGUGAGUGUAGAGGCUGACUCUGGAGCCCAGGCUGUACCUUCUCGGUCUGGUGAUGAAUCCUCAAUCGUGUGAUGGAGUCUCGCUCUGUCACCCAGGCUGGAGUGCAGUGCAGUGGUGCGAACUCGGCUCAUUGCUGGAUCUUACGUCCUUCACCCAGAAACCAUUAUGAGUAGUUACUGAAUAAUUCGGUGGGAAUUCAAAAAGGAAUACUGCAUUUCUUCUGACCCGCCUAAGGUGUUCACAUACUAAUGAAGAAGACAGAAGCAAACACCAAAGAUUAUAGUAACUAAUAUUAACAUGAACAAACACCUAUGGGAGUAAAGAGAAGAAAGUGAUUAAUUUCUUCUUGUCUACUUUCUUGUCUACUCCUUGAGAGCAAAAACUAUUUAUUUCAUGUUCAAAAAAUAUCACCCAUAGACAAGUGCCUGUCUCAUUGUAACCAUUCAAUAAAUAUUUGUUUAAUACAUAAAUAAAUACAAUUUUAAAAGUAAUUUGAAAUGUUUCACAGAGAAAGUUAUAUUUGUAUAAGUCUUAAAAGUAAGAAAGGAUACUUCCAGGAGAAAAGUGGUAGAAAGAGCAUUCCAGGCAGAAAGGAUAACGUGAGCAAAAUUAUACAAAGAUAAAAAUGAAUGGUGUGACUGAGGAGAAGUAAUUAUUCGGUUAUAGCAAAUAAUGCCAUAUAUACUUAAGGCUUUUUCUAAAAAAGGUUUUUUAGGCUCAGAUGAUGAGUGAAGAUGUAUGACAACCUAAGGAAAUGGGACAUUAUUCUGUAGGUAAUUAGAAAUCACUGAUGAUUUUCAAGUUACAGGAUGAGAACUUGUCUGAGUUCUUUGUACUAAUGGAGAGGAAAACAGGAAAGAGUAUGUCAAAAACCUCUGUAUUUUUAAAGCAUUGUAAAAAUAAAGAUUCAAAAAUACUCUCAACACAUUGUACAAAAUUUUAUUCAAAGAUUAAGAUGUGCUGCUUUCCAUACAGGUAAUUUUGUUCAAAAGUUGGCAUCUAACCUCUUAGACAAGCUGAGUAGUAACCAAAUGAUGCCAUGUGUUACUGUGCUUUUAUUUUUAACCUCAUGAACCUCUGAUAUUUUAAUUCAAUAUCAGAUUAUUUCUUUGUAGGAGAUGCUUUGGGGAUAUGGACAGGAAUUGUAUUUAUGAACUGUAGUGGCCAUUAGCCAUUUCCAAUUUAGUGGAAUCAGAACUUGUUUUUAUAAUCACACAAAUGCUCUGGGUUUAAAAACUACUUCUUUAGGAGUAUGUGAGGACUUACAGCCAAUAAUGUUUGUCAUUAGCUUACCAUAAAAAUAUCCAGGGUUUAUGACUUGAUGCCUUCUAUUUUUGCUGCAAUCCUAGUGACUAAUAUGUACAUUUAUGAGCUGUAUUUUAUCAUUUGAAAGACCUUGAAAUAUUUUUUUUAUCAGUAGGAAGUUGGAUAUUUUCCAUGAGCAUAAGAAAAAGCUCUAAAUAAUAUAUUCAGAAAGCUUUAAAAUAAUCAGUAGACGGUUUUAAAACAAAAACUAAAGAUACAGGAGUGAGGAUGAUUCUAAUGACCCAUUAAUGCUCCUGCCUCCACUGCAGUCAUUAUAGCACAAAAAAAAUCAGCUUUAAAUUCUUUCUGUAGCUGAGGAUGUACAUGUAGUUUCAAGCUGCCCUUUCAUGACAGCUGCUUUGCAAUAUAGAUAUAUAUAUUUCAGAAUAAUGUAUUUUAAAAAGCAUGCUAUUGUAACAUUUCUAUGUAUACUUCCCAACUGUCCUUCACAUCUGUUGUUGUCCAAAGGUGGUGUAUGUCUCCUCAGUAUAAUAAUUUUCAGGUCCAUAGUCAUGCAAAGUUAAAUAUGUACACUUGAAAGAUAAGCUGUAUAGGUAAACCAAAAUAUGAUUUUGUUGACUUUAAGAAUUAUUUUAAUUGGUUUACGAAUUUAUAUUCACUUAUGUAAUCUUUAAGUGCUUUAAGAUACUACAUAUGUGAUACCAAAAAAAAAAAAUCAUUAGUCAAGGCCAAAGUAAUUGUUAGCAGUAUUUAAUGCAUGCAAGACAUCGUAUUUUGGUCACUGAUAUAAUCAUUUAUGAGUAACCUAUUACAAUUUGCACAGAAGUGACCUUUUCCUUGUAAGUAAAGGGCACAUUUUACAGCUUUCUGAACAUGUCUUAUCUACUUAAGAAGUUUGAGAAAAUAUAAGAUGUGGUGACAUUUAAUUUUAUUCUAGUUCAUUGCCAUUAACUUCCUGAUGCUGACUUUUAGAUAGUCAUAUAUGGUCCUUUGUUAAGACAAA